CGUCCCACUCAGUUCGGUGUUGGUUUCAGCUAUACCGACCAAGUCACUGAGUGCUAGUGCUGGGUUUGAGCCCACGUCCUCUCUACUGCAACAAUGGCCCUCCGAAUUGAAGUGAAAUACGGUAACUCCUGAGGUUAUGAGACACGGUUCCAAAGUCUGAAAAAGGACUUGGAGGAAGAAUUUCCAGAUCAACUGGAAAUCACUGGAACUAAAGUCUCAGGCAAAACAGAUGAUUUUGAAGUUUACUUGCAGGACUCCAAAAUGCUUCUGCAUUCUAAACUGACAGGAGAUGGCUUUGUUGACAACAG
Molecule: non-coding RNA, 308 nt
Organism: Chiloscyllium plagiosum (whitespotted bambooshark)
Lineage: Eukaryota; Metazoa; Chordata; Chondrichthyes; Orectolobiformes; Hemiscylliidae
Source: RefSeq, a predicted model, not a curated record